ACGAGAUCUUCUCAAGUGCAUCAGUCCCUCUAGUGUACAUUUGACAGUUGAGAGGCACUUGGGAUGCAUGCCCCGAUGCUUCCAACCAUCCAAUGUGGGUGAGAAGGGUUGGAGUACUUAAGAGGAUCUGGGUCCUCCUCUACCUGUGUGUGCCUUCUCAUACACCGUAACCGCUGACUUGUACUCGGAAUAGAAGUGCUCCAAUGCUUCUCUACAUAGAAAACUGCAUACUUCUCCAAACCAUUCUUAAAUUCACAUUCUCAUAGAACAUGUGAGUUAGUAAAAUAUGAUAGCCUCUACCUGCCCUUUGAAAUCAGAAACAGUCCGGUUUGUGCUGGGGUGAUGGGUUGAUUGGGGUUCAAUCCACUGGUCUGACACUCUUUGAAGAGAUGCCCUAAAUGGCGCCAAAAAGCGUUAAAUUGUUUCUUUCAUGGCGGGAAGGAAAAGGAUUUAGCAUCAGAGUCCGAAGGGCAAAGCUCCAUCCUAAAAUUUACAUAAUCUUAAAAGAUUUCCUCCAUGGCGGGAAGGAAAAGGACGAAAAAGGCAGAGAAACCGGUCAGAGUGGAUGAGCUGCGGCCUUGGUCUGAGCUUCCUAACGAACGCCUGGAGCUCAUUGUGUCCCGUCUGUGCAUCGAAGAUCAUGUCCGUUUGUCCUGUGUUUGUAAGAAAUUGCGAAAAGUUGCCCGUUCAUGUGGUGAACCAAUCUCCAUGGCUCUUGUUCCUCACAGGAGGAUUAGGUGGCAUAAUCAAAUUCUUUGACCUUCACAGGGAAAGUUUUAUGUUGAUGAGAUCCCAGAGCUAAGGCGUGCAAAGCCUCGGUGCACCAAGGAUGGAUGGGUGCUGUUUACUGGCGGUAGCUUUUUCUUAUUCAAUAUCUUCACCAAGUCAAAAGUUAAGCUUUUCUAUUACCGUAUGCUUUCCCCAAAUUUGCUUUAUCUUGUGCGCCCACAUCCCCUGGCUGUGUAGUUUUUGCAGUUGAAACUGAUACAUCGUGUUUUGGCAGUCUAGUGGUUUCCAUUUGCAUUUGUCAUCCAGGGGAUGCACAGUGGACUACUUUUAAGUUCCAAAUUAAUGAUGUCGUCCGCAAUUUCAACUGGGGGGAUGAUCCAGUUUCCUG
This is a long non-coding RNA of Macadamia integrifolia, 1117 nucleotides long. RefSeq lists it as uncharacterized. The record is from RefSeq and is a predicted model, not a curated record. The transcript has 2 exons. NCBI's taxonomy places the organism in Eukaryota, Viridiplantae, Streptophyta, Magnoliopsida, Proteales, Proteaceae.